UUUUUUAAUUAUUUGACUAUAAUACUAUAUUGGUCGGGUUUUAUUGUCUCGGCUCCGUCGACAUAAUAAUAUUAUUCGUAUUUUUUUUUUUUUUCAUGUUAAUAUUAUUGUGUCUGCAUUACAUUAUUAUUAUAAGAUCUGAAUCGACUUUUAAACGCGAGCGUGUUACAAACAGCGUAUAUAUUAUACUCAUAAUUUACUUUUUCAAAAACAAUGUAAUAAAAACAGAAAAAAAAAAAUACAAUCCACACUCACAAUAUUAUUAUUAUUACUGUUGUCGUUGUAGUAUACGGUGAAAUUCGAUUACGAGUAUGAUCGCGGUUGACAUUGACGACUCGGUCGUUUUACCCGCUUUUCUCAAACACACACAAUACAUCAGCUAUAUAAUUAUAUUUAUAUAUAUAUUAUACCUAAAGACAAAAAAUAGUUUGUUUUUUUUUUUUCUCGAUAUUUGGAACGUCUCGGCGACCCGUAUAUCGAUUCGGCGUUACCUAUCCGAUACACCACAAAAAUUUGACGGAUUCCGUUAUUUCGAUACAGUACGGUCGGCGACGAGUAGAUAUAAAAAUAUCGUCUACAACCGUGCGAUCGGUUUACCGCAGUUCGCCGUGCUUCCCCUUUUGUAAUAUAAAAUUCCUUAAAUUCCUUGUAACUUAUGUAUCCGUAUCCAUGUCUAUAAAUUAUCUAUAUGUUCGUUAACAUGUACAACUACUCCACCCUACAUAGGUUUUUCGUCUUCCGAUAUUACCUCCUACGACGGAUUUCGUUACGCAUGUAGCACAAGUGCAUGAUGCACUAUAGAUGCGCGCCCUACCAUUUUGCCCCUUGUUACUUGUACACUACGCCAAAGUGUUCUCGUUUGUUAAUAUAGCACAUAAAGGUAUCUAUACUUACACGCCAUAUUAAUAUACUGACCCAGGAUGUACUGAAUUUAACCGAGAAAAACGAUAACUUCGGCAUUUUGUAAUAAAUUCAGAAGGGACAAGAAAAUACUGCGUCAUGACAUUUUGACAAAAAUGUCGUUAGAAACAAAUUCGGCGCAAUUUAAUUAGCUCUCGGAGUUUAAUUUUUUGAUUCCCUCCGUAAUUAUUUCGUAACAAUUAUAUAUCGAUUACCGAAAUUGUUUUACAAUCGUAAAAUACGACAAUUAAAAUAACUUACAAAUAAAAACAUUGUACUUAAUAUAGCCACUAUUCCAAGUAAUUCACCUACGUGUAUUACAAUUUAUUAAAAACAAUUUGACUGUUUUUAAGAAUUUUUCAACUUUUAUUAGAAGUAUAUUUUGAGAACCGCAUAUUGAAAAACAAAAUGUUAUUGGGAACCAAUCCAAUAGUCGCCAAACAAAUUAUGAUAAACGUAUUGGACACGAGAACUUAAGAUAUACAGAAUAGAGGCGUGAAGAGCUGCAUCAAAACAAUCGGUUGAUGGAAUACGAGAAGAAGAAUAAGAAGACAUAAUCGUUACAUGAGAAUGAAUAGGCUGUAUUGAUUUUUUGAAAAAUCACUUUUCAAUAGAUGGUAAAUAGAUAAAUAGAAAAACCUAACCAAAUAUUUUUUUUUAAACUCAAUACGGAAUUUACGUCUUAAUUUUGCAACAAGAAAUUCAAAAUGGAAUGACUAAAUAGUUAAAAUAAAUCUUUUUUUUUAUAUAUAUAAUCUCAAUAGAAUCUUUUUAAAGUGAAUUAUUAUUUGAGAGAGAAAAUUUACUAUAUCAACAAUGCAA
Molecule: non-coding RNA, 1722 nt
Organism: Cinara cedri
Lineage: Eukaryota; Metazoa; Arthropoda; Insecta; Hemiptera; Aphididae
Source: the annotation of a GenBank genome assembly